UACGAAGGGGGCUAGCGUUGUUCGGAUUUACUGGGCGUAAAGCGCACGUAGGCGGAUCUUUAAGUCAGAGGUGAAAUCCCAAGGCUCAACCUUGGAACUGCCUUUGAUACUGGGGAUCUUGAGUCCGGGAGAGGUGAGUGGAACUGCGAGUGUAGAGGUGAAAUUCGUAGAUAUCGGGAGGAACACCAGUGGCGAAGGCGACUUCCUGGACCUGUUCUGACGCUGAGGAGCGAAAGCGUGGGGAGCGAUCCGG
Molecule: ribosomal RNA, 253 nt
Filed under: uncultured bacterium
Lineage: Bacteria
Description: partial 16S ribosomal RNA
Rfam family: Bacterial small subunit ribosomal RNA
Source: RNAcentral